RNAcentral lists this ribosomal RNA (443 nucleotides) under uncultured bacterium. RNAcentral describes it as "partial 16S ribosomal RNA". It matches the Rfam family "Bacterial small subunit ribosomal RNA", at positions 338 to 795 of the family's 1533-position model. The record is from RNAcentral.
CCUACGGGAGGCAGUAGUGGGGAAUAUUGGGCAAUGGGCGCAAGCCUGACCCAGCAACGCCGCGUGAAGGAAGAAGGCUUUCGGGUUGUAAACUUCUUUUCUCAGGGACGAAGCAAGUGACGGUACCUGAGGAAUAAGCCACGGCUAACUACGUGCCAGCAGCCGCGGUAAUACGUAGGUGGCAAGCGUUAUCCGGAUUUACUGGGUGUAAAGGGCGUGUAGGCGGGGACGCAAGUCAGAUGUGAAAACCACGGGCUCAACCUGUGGCCUGCAUUUGAAACUGUGUUUCUUGAGUACUGGAGAGGCAGACGGAAGUCCUAGUGGAGCGGUGAAAGGCGGAGAUAUUAGGAGGAACACGAGUGGCGAAGGCGGUCUGCUGGACAGCAACUGACGCUGAGGCGCGAAAGCGUGGGGAGCAAACAGGAUUAGAUACCCGUGUAGUC